ACAAAUGUCAGAGACAAGUGGCAGCGGACACUCGACAGGAAAGCUGUAGUGUUGCGCCAACAAGCAGGCACACAGCAAAGCAGCGGGAAAUGUGUGCGAAACAGUUACGCACCAGCUGCAAGGGGAGACUGAGCCGUUCUAUGUAGAUAUAUAUUUUUUAUGUGGCAGUCAGUCAGUGACAUUUGCGUAAAUGUCAAGGGACAAAACUCAUAAAGUGUGUGAACAAGUGGGAACAAGCAAAAAGAAGAUAAAAAAAAGAACUUCAGAACGACACAACGACUGUUGAUUGUCAACGGCGCAUAUGACUCAUUCGAGGCCGAAGCGACGAGCAAUACACGAGCACAAACGGACUCUUGUAAUUCACGGAGUCAGUCAUUAAAACUCACUCGCACUUGAUUUUCCCUGCUUCACCCUUCUUGUUUGUAUGUGCCCGCUCUGCAUACUGCUCUGUUGUCCAGAUUUGCAGAAGGUUGGAAAAUGCAUGAAAAAUUUUUGUUUGAAAUAAAAAUUAUACUGGACCGCAGAAGUAAAAAGAACAGACAACAUUUUUUAAACAAAUAUUAUGCUUGUGAAAAUGUUGCUUAACAAAUUAGGGCCACACAGCGAAGUGUAAUUCAACAGAAAAAAAAUUACCAUCUUUCCAAACUUGUACCGAAACAUGUUGCAAGGAAUUGUAUACAUUACAGGUAACAUGUUGCUUGAUGCUUAGAGAGUAAAAACAGCUUUAUAACUAUAAUUACAAAUCAAAUUAAAAAAAAGUUUUCGCAACUAAAAUGUUGCCAAUAAAUGUUGCGGCUGCAUUGA
This is a non-coding RNA of Bactrocera oleae (olive fruit fly), 804 nucleotides long. Lineage: Eukaryota; Metazoa; Arthropoda; Insecta; Diptera; Tephritidae. The record is from RefSeq and is a predicted model, not a curated record.